RNAcentral lists this ribosomal RNA (253 nucleotides) under uncultured bacterium. RNAcentral describes it as "partial 16S ribosomal RNA". It matches the Rfam family "Bacterial small subunit ribosomal RNA", at positions 524 to 776 of the family's 1533-position model. The record is from RNAcentral.
UACGGGGGGGGCAAGCGUUGUUCGGAAUUACUGGGCGUAAAGGGCUCGUAGGUGGCCAACUAAGUCGGACGUGAAAUCCCUCGGCUUAACCGGGGAACUGCGUCCGAUACUGGUUGGCUUGAGUUUGGGAGAGGGAUGCGGAAUUCCAGGUGUAGCGGUGAAAUUCGUAGAUAUCGGGAGGAACACCAGUGGCGAAGGCGGCUAUCUGGACGUCAACUGACGCUGAGGCGCGAAAGCGUGGGGAGCAAACAGG